Molecule: ribosomal RNA, 465 nt
Filed under: uncultured Rhodocyclaceae bacterium
Lineage: Bacteria; Pseudomonadati; Pseudomonadota; Betaproteobacteria; Rhodocyclales; Rhodocyclaceae
Description: bacterial SSU rRNA
Rfam family: Bacterial small subunit ribosomal RNA
Source: RNAcentral
ACGGGACCCGCACAAGCGGUGGAUGAUGUGAUUAAUUCGAUGCAACGCGAAAACCUUACCUACCUUGACAUGUCCGGAAUCCGAAGAGAUUUGGGAGUGCUCGCAAGAGAGCCGGAACACAGGUGCUGCAUGGCUGUCGUCAGCUCGUGUCGUGAGAUGUUGGGUUAAGUCCCGCAACGAGCGCAACCCUUGUCAUUAGUUGCCAUCAUUUGGUUGGGCACUCUAAUGAGACUGCCGGUGACAAACCGGAGGAAGGUGGGGAUGACGUCAAGUCCUCAUGGCCCUUAUGGGUAGGGCUUCACACGUCAUACAAUGGUCGGUACAGAGGGUUGCCAACCCGCGAGGGGGAGCUAAUCCCACAAAGCCGAUCGUAGUCCGGAUCGCAGUCUGCAACUCGACUGCGUGAAGUCGGAAUCGCUAGUAAUCGUGGAUCAGCAUGUCACGGUGAAUACGUUCCCGGGUCUU